UGCCAGCAGCCGCGGUAACACGGGGGGCGCAAGCGUUAUUCGGAAUUAUUGGGCGUAAAGGGCGCGUAGGCGGUUUGGCAAGUCUGAUGUGAAAGCCCACGACUUAAUCGUGGAAGUGCAUUGGAUACUGCCAGGCUAGAGUACAGGAGGGGUGAGCGGAAUUCCAGGUGUAGAGGUGAAAUUCGUAGAUAUCUGGAGGAACAACGGAGGCGAAGGCGGCUCACUGGACUGUUACUGACGCUGAUGCGCGAAAGCGUGGGGAGCAAACGGGAUUAGAUA
Molecule: ribosomal RNA, 279 nt
Filed under: uncultured bacterium
Lineage: Bacteria
Description: partial 16S ribosomal RNA
Rfam family: Bacterial small subunit ribosomal RNA
Source: RNAcentral